GACGAGGGGUCCAAGCGUUGUUCGGAAUUAUUGGGCGUAAAGCGGGUGUAGGUGGCUCUAUAAGUCAGGAGUGAAAUCCCCAAGCUUAACUUGGGAAGUGCUUUUGAUACUGCAGAGCUUGAAUGUGGGAGAGGAUAAUAGAAUUCCAGGUGUAGUGGUGAAAUGCGCAGAUAUCAGGAAGAACACCCGUGGCGAAGGCGGUUCUCUGGGACGGUACUGACGCUGAGACGCGAAAGCGUGGGGAGCGAACAGG
Molecule: ribosomal RNA, 253 nt
Filed under: uncultured bacterium
Lineage: Bacteria
Description: partial 16S ribosomal RNA
Rfam family: Bacterial small subunit ribosomal RNA
Source: RNAcentral